Molecule: long non-coding RNA, 525 nt
Filed under: Pongo abelii (Sumatran orangutan)
Lineage: Eukaryota; Metazoa; Chordata; Mammalia; Primates; Hominidae
Description: lincRNA
Source: RNAcentral
CGAAGACAGAGUCCUGCCUGCUCUCCCAGGCUAGAGUGCAGCGUGCAAUCGUAGCCUACAGUAAGAAGCCAGAAACGUGAAGAGAAGACCUCGCCUUGAUUUGCCAGAUGACCCAUGGCCUUUUUAGUCAAGUUCCUGGAGAAGUUAGGGUGGAGACUUAUUUGUCCUGCGUUUGGGGCAAUAAAAGGGGAGGGGCCGCCUCCUCCAGCCUGUUCUAAAAAGCCAAAAAGCAAGGCUAUUUACUCAGCCCUGGGCUACUAAGUGCUGGGGUGGCCUAUGUUGACUUAAAUGAGCCCUUGCAGUUAGGUGGGGCUCUCUGGAGCUGUUAGUCAUGUGAGGUUGCCAGGGCAACUUAAUGUCUUAUGAGCUGGAAUGCUUCAAGAAGUACAAAGAGGAGACUACAAGAGUGCAUUACAACUUACAGUCAUAUGUUCAAUAACAUGUCAUCUUUCCUAAUGGGGCUUUUAUUUUUAUUUUAUUUUGUGGGAUUGAAAGAUCAGAAGCCGGAAAUUAUCCGGAGAGGAU